RNAcentral lists this unclassified non-coding RNA (341 nucleotides) under soil metagenome. RNAcentral describes it as "partial contains 5.8S ribosomal RNA, internal transcribed spacer 2, and large subunit ribosomal RNA". The stretch from base 1 to 120 matches the Rfam family "5.8S ribosomal RNA", at positions 35 to 154 of the family's 154-position model. The record is from RNAcentral.
GAUGAAGAACGCAGCGAAAUGCGAUAAGUAGUGUGAAUUGCAGAAUUCAGUGAAUCAUCGAAUCUUUGAACGCACAUUGCGCCCUUUGGUAUUCCAAAGGGCAUGCCUGUUCGAGCGUCAUUUGUACCCUCAAGCUUUGCUUGGUGUUGGGCGUCUUGUCUCUAGCUUUGCUGGAGACUCGCCUUAAAGUAAUUGGCAGCCGGUCUACUGGUUUCGGAGCGCAGCACAAGUCGCACUCUCUAUCAGCAAAGGUCUAGCAUCCAUUAAGCCUUUUUUUCAACUUUUGACCUCGGAUCAGGUAGGGAUACCCGCUGAACUUAAGCAUAUCAAUAAGCGGAGGA